RNAcentral lists this transfer RNA (65 nucleotides) under Vietnamella sinensis. RNAcentral describes it as "tRNA-Ala". It matches the Rfam family "tRNA". From Rfam's summary of the family: Transfer RNA (tRNA) molecules are approximately 80 nucleotides in length. The record is from RNAcentral. Lineage: Eukaryota; Metazoa; Arthropoda; Insecta; Ephemeroptera; Ephemerellidae.
AGGGCUGUAGUUAAGAAUAAUUUUUGAUUUGCAUUCAAAAGGUGUUAGUAAAACUAACCUGCCUU